GACGAACGCUGGCGGCGUGCCUAACACAUGCAAGUCGAACGGACAGGCCCUGCUUUUGUGGGGUGCUCGAGUGGCGAAGGGGUGAGUAACACGCGAGUAACCUGCCCUUGACUUUGGGAUAACUUCACGAGACUGGGGCUCAUACAGCAUAGGAGAUCCUGCUUCAUGGGGGGGGUUGGAAAGAUUCGGCGGAUGGGGAUGGACGCGCGGCUUAUCAGCUUGUUGGUGGGGUAGUGGCUUACCAAGGCUUUGCGGGGUAGCCGGCCUGAGAGGGUGACCGGCGCCCUGGGUCCUACGGUACGGCCCAGAAGCGUAUGGUCCGCAGAGGUCGGGAAUAUUGCGCAGCGGGGGGGCGUCUGCGGCGACGACCUUCCGGGCGUGAUGACCGCUUGCUAGUGAUAAACCGCUUUCGCAGGUACCGAAGCGUGAGUGACGGUACCGAGUAAGGAAGCAACGGCUAACUACGUG
RNAcentral lists this ribosomal RNA (468 nucleotides) under uncultured bacterium. RNAcentral's name for it is "partial 16S ribosomal RNA". It matches the Rfam family "Bacterial small subunit ribosomal RNA", at positions 28 to 507 of the family's 1533-position model. The record is from RNAcentral.